RNAcentral lists this ribosomal RNA (896 nucleotides) under uncultured Eurotiales. Its description in RNAcentral is "SSU rRNA". It matches the Rfam family "Eukaryotic small subunit ribosomal RNA", at positions 238 to 1140 of the family's 1831-position model. Lineage: Eukaryota; Fungi; Ascomycota; Eurotiomycetes; Eurotiales. The record is from RNAcentral.
GCUCCUUGGUGAAUCAUAAUAACUUAACGAAUCGCAUGGCCUUGCGCCGGCGAUGGUUCAUUCAAAUUUCUGCCCUAUCAACUUUCGAUGGUAGGAUAGUGGCCUACCAUGGUGGCAACGGGUAACGGGGAAUUAGGGUUCGAUUCCGGAGAGGGAGCCUGAGAAACGGCUACCACAUCCAAGGAAGGCAGCAGGCGCGCGAAUUACCCAAUCCCGAUACGGGGAGGUAGUGACAAUAAAUACUGAUACGGGGCUCUUUUGGGUCUCGUAAUUGGAAUGAGAACAAUUUAAAUCCCUUAACGAGGAACAAUUGGAGGGCAAGUCUGGUGCCAGCAGCCGCGGUAAUUCCAGCUCCAAUAGCGUAUAUUAAAGUUGUUGCAGUUAAAAAGCUCGUAGUUGAACCUUGGGUCUGGCUGGCCGGUCCGCCUCACCGCGAGUACUGGUCCGGCUGGACCUUUCCUUCUGGGGAACCUCAUGGCCUUCACUGGCUGUGGGGGGAACCAGGACUUUUACUGUGAAAAAAUUAGAGUGUUCAAAGCAGGCCUUUGCUCGAAUACAUUAGCAUGGAAUAAUAGAAUAGGACGUGCGGUUCUAUUUUGUUGGUUUCUAGGACCGCCGUAAUGAUUAAUAGGGAUAGUCGGGGGCGUCAGUAUUCAGCUGUCAGAGGUGAAAUUCUUGGAUUUGCUGAAGACUAACUACUGCGAAAGCAUUCGCCAAGGAUGUUUUCAUUAAUCAGGGAACGAAAGUUAGGGGAUCGAAGACGAUCAGAUACCGUCGUAGUCUUAACCAUAAACUAUGCCGACUAGGGAUCGGACGGGAUUCUAUAAUGACCCGUUCGGCACCUUACGAGAAAUCAAAGUUUUUGGGUUCUGGGGGGAGUAUGGUCGCAAGGCUGA